GUCUUUUCGAAGAUAUUCGAUAAAAUUGAAACGAUACAGAAAAGAUUAGUAUGGCUCUUGCGCAAGAAUAACACGCACAAAUAUACUAAACUUUGAUAUUGUC
This is a non-coding RNA of Picea glauca (white spruce), 103 nucleotides long. NCBI's taxonomy places the organism in Eukaryota, Viridiplantae, Streptophyta, Pinopsida, Pinales, Pinaceae. The record is from Rfam.